Molecule: long non-coding RNA, 1951 nt
Organism: Salvia miltiorrhiza (redroot sage)
Lineage: Eukaryota; Viridiplantae; Streptophyta; Magnoliopsida; Lamiales; Lamiaceae
Exons: 3
Source: RefSeq, a predicted model, not a curated record
UUCUCCAUGAUGUCAAAUAUCUCUCCACACCUGAAUCUGCAUCAUCGACCAAUUUCAUCCCCUGCAAGAAGGUGUCAGUUGGAUAACCAAAGCUCUGCCAUAGGUAGCCUUCCAUUGUGUUGUCUACAACAACCAAAUAAUGCUUUUGCCAUUGCUUAUAACAAGACUCCCAUUUCUGGAAAGCAUGAAAAGUGGUGCAUGUGAGGCAGUGAUGGGAUCGUUUCUGUUUGCAACCCAGACUACAACUUCUGGUGUGCUCGUGUACCAUAUUCCCAAGAAUCUAUUUAGAGAUUUUCCAGCUCCAACUGUUAAACUCAGUAAGGAGAUGGAGUGAAGCAGGGAGCAGAAGAUUGUAGUGAAGAAGAAGAACGCCAUGUUCAAAUCCGAUUACAUGUCCAGCUCCAGAAAUAAUUCUGCUGAUCGCUCUUGGGUGAAGAACAAUACCGGAAAAAAAAGUAAAUAUGAAAUGGAAAAGUCAAUAGUUGAAUAAAUUCAAAGGUUGGACGAGACUGGCAACAGAAUCAAAGAAAUUCUUCUUUGAAUUUUCUUCUGCAUAAGUCAUAUGCAUGCCGUGGUAGGUUUGAAAUUGGUUAACUUUUUCUGGAACUUUGUUGGUUGCCUCACCAUAUAAAGUGGUUCAUGCCACUAUCUCCAAUCCAACGUGGGACACUUCAAUACACCCCCCGCACGCGCAGCGUGGACUAUCCCAAACGCCAUCUGUUGACAACGAUAUUGGGGGGACCCAUCAUUGGAUUGGGUUGGCUCUGAUACCAUGUUAGAAAUUAAUGAAAGCUAGAGUGAAGAUUUGAGAGAGAGAUUUUCUGUAUAUUGACUGAAUCAACUAAAACAAAAUACAAGGUACAAAGAUAUAAAUAGAGAUAGAGUAGGAAGCACGCAGGCUUCAGUAGCUUAACUAAUCAUCUUAACUACCUCACUAACAACUUUGUAACUUCUCUUAACAAACUAAAGCUAAACACGCUUCUUUACUAAUAUGAGCUUCUUCUUACUCCAACAAACUUCUACGCAUAUAUGAAAGAAAAAAGUCAUAGUAUUAAAUACUCCCUCCAGUCCCGCUAUUUAUGACACAUUACUUUUUGACACGGAGAUUAAGGAGAAGAAAAUUAGGAUAAAGGUUUGUGUGUUCAAUAUGUUUAAUAAUGAGUUUAAGGGAUAUUUAUCAUUGCUAUUUCUUGUAAAUGAAAUGCAGGCAAAUUCACAAAAUAAAACCAAUUAACAAAAUUGAAUGAAUUAACAAAACAAAGAGAGGGUGGAGAUGAAUCUUAUGAAUAAAAUUCCAGAAUCCAAAUAUCAGAAAAAAAAAAAAAAAAAAAUUCACCAAGCAACAAUAAAGAUUCCAGAAAUCAACAAUUCACGAAACUCACGAAAUUAACAAAAAUCAAGAAUAAGAUUCUAGAAAGUGUAUCAAAUCAAGAAUAAGAUUCCACAAAAAUUAUGAAAUCAAGAAUGAGAUUAAGAAUAAGAAUGAGAUCCGGAACAAGAACAAAAUCAACAAAAAACAACAGUGGUGUCGUCACACUCAAUCCGUCGUCGGGCCGCUGCUAUGGUUUCACUCAGAGGGAGUGGAGGCGCGACAGUGGAUAAACUCAGAUCUGGCGCCACACCGGUGCUAGGGUUUCACUCGAAGGUGAAGGAGGCGGCGGUGGAUGGAGCAGGCGCAAAGGAUGCGGCGACGUGGAGCAGGCGGAAGGUUUGGGAGGCGGCGGGCGGUGGAGACUCAGGCGCAAAGAGAGAGAGAGAGAGAGAGACGAUUGCAAAGUGGAAAUGACCUUGAGUUUGGGCUCGAAGAGUUGAGGCGGCGCUAGGCAGAGCCGACGAGGGUGUGGAGGCGGUGGAGGGUGGUGGCAGCGCUAGUUAGGAGAUGGUGGUGGAGGAAUGAAGAAGAGGGUAGAGAGAGAUAGAAGGGGCGUGAGUUUAGAGAGAGAGAGUGUGU